UACGUAGGGAGCAAGCGUUAUCCGGAUUUAUUGGGCGUAAAGCGCGCGUAGGCGGCUUGUUAAGUCAGGUGUGAAAGCCGGGGGCUCAACCCGCGGAUUGCAUCUGAAACUGGCAGGCUUGAGUGUGGUAGAGGAAAGUGGAAUUCCCGGUGUAGCGGUGAAAUGCGCAGAUAUCGGGAGGAACACCAGUGGCGAAGGCGGCUUUCUGGGCCACCACUGACGCUGAGGCGCGAAAGCUAGGGGAGCGAACAGG
This 253-nucleotide ribosomal RNA is filed under the name uncultured bacterium. RNAcentral's name for it is "partial 16S ribosomal RNA". It matches the Rfam family "Bacterial small subunit ribosomal RNA", at positions 524 to 776 of the family's 1533-position model. The record is from RNAcentral.